UCCCUUCACCAAAACAAAUAUCACAAAGAAAAAAUCAGCUAUCAAAUUCUCAAAGUAUAUCAGAAUCAAAAUCUGGAAGCUGCCUAUUAUCUAGCACUACAACAACAACUAAUGACCAAAGGCAUAACAACGAUUCCUUUCAAUCGAAUCCUUAAUUGCGCAAUUAUGUGUGUUCACGAGAUGAAUCCAGAGAUCAGAGACGUUACGGGAGCAUAAUAAGGUCGAAAACGGAGUGGUGAUAUCAGAGAGAAGUAUCGGCGACGAUCUUGAUUCCAUGGCAUGCAUCAACUCCAACCUGAUUCUUCACGGAGGCCACCGUUACAUCUGCACCGCCUCGCCGCAGCACAUCGAUCAUCACCACCACUUCGAACGGCUUGGUACCAUGCGCCACGGAAUGUAUCAUCCACUGUUAUAUUGGAGUGAGUGAUUGACGAUGGUAGCUUUCACUCGGAAACGAUCUUAUUUGGUUCACUACAAAUCAUAACAUAGGGAAGAGGGGUUGACUAAGUCGAAGCUUAAGAACUCACUUUGGAGAGCGUUCUCUUUGAACUCCACAAACAAUGAUGUCUAAAAAGCCAUGAUUGUUAGGAAUAUAUAUAUAUAUAUAUAAAGCUCUAGAAAUCAUGAGUAAGAUGAAAUCAUGCAAAAAAUAUUUUUAGAAAUCAUAUAAUUUUCCAAAAAAUAAUUAUGCUAACUAGCUAAGACUUGGUUCAAAAAGAAUUAUAUAUUACUUCGCGCAUUCAUUUACAUUAUAUUAGGCAACAAAACCUAUAAAUUAUGCAGCCUAAUAUUGUAUGAAGCAUAAAUAUAAAUUUAUAUUUUUUGAAAAUAUAUGAAAUUUACUUUAUCAAGAAAAAAUAUAAAAUUAAACAUGUUUUAGUAGUAUUUUAAGGAAUUUUUUUUUUAAAAUAACAAAACAUGCGUGCAAUAUUUUUAAAAAACGACAAAUCAGCAAAAUAAUAUGUUAUAGUACUGGGUAAUUCUAUCUAUGUUAAAACAAAACAACAUCUCCAAAUUAUUUACCACUCUAGGUCUUUCUAAAAUUAAUUAAAAAAGUUUUACACAAUUAACAUGUUUUAAAUACAUCAUAAAAAUGUACAAAAUAUCUAGCCCAUUAAACUGGAUAAACCAGUAACCACAUUGUUUCUCUUAAGUAAAACCCUAUUGUUUAGCCUCAUAUUGAAAAAUUAUUUUAAAAAAAAACAUUUGUCUCCCCAAAAAGGUGUGAUCUUGCUUUCUUUCCAAUCAGAGCCAGACAACUAUUCUAACUAAUUAUAUUUUAUCCAUAAUAAUUAAUAAUAAAAAUUAAACUAGGCGGGACAAACUAUUGAGAGCAAACUGCAUAAUUUUAUUGUAGACCAACAUAAAAAAUGAAAACAAAAUUAUGAAAUUUACAAAGUCUUAAAUCUCAUGGUACGUCCAAGUGACAUGUAAUUUAGGGUGAGACCGCAUCCACAUAUAUAAUACAGAUCAUUCAAGUAACAACAAUACUCUCGAUGAAAGGAAAAUAUUUCCCAUAUAUAUAUUCAUACAAGUACAUUGACCAUACAUAACUUUCCAUAGUUAAUGGUGCUAUGGUAUGUUUGGUUAUGCGAAGUUUGUUUGGUUGAGAGAUGGUGUAUUUUUGAGUUAUGGAAAGCGAGGGUUUAUAACCACUUCAAAGAGAAAUAUUGAUGGUGAAUCUAUAGGCAUUAAUUGUAAAGAAACUGAAAGUAAUUAUGUAUUUGUUAAAGAGAUGAAGUGGUGACUUAAUGGUUUAAGGGAAGUGGAAAUGUUGAACGGAGGUUGGACGGAGGUUGGAAGCUAGGAUGAGAACCUAAGGAGGUUUCGUCGUUUUUGGUAUGUAUACAUUAACAUAGUGGACGACGAGCUAAAUUUGAGUUCAAUAUGUGUACAUUCGAUAAAGCAAGUUUGCAGGAAUGUAGUAUAUUAGAUAACUCAGCAAUACAAAAAAUACAAUUAUCGCUAUGAGACAUAUAACGUUGGAGAUAGUACAUUUUCAAACGAAUAUACUGUUCAAACCAAUAUAAUUCAGUAUAAUAUAUAUUAAAUACAAAAUUAUAUACAAAAUACAAUCUUAAGAUACAUAAUAUUUUAUAUUAUUAAUAAUUAUUUUCUUUCAUCGUAUAUUCACAUAUAAGAAUUUAUAUAAAAAUAAAAAUAUCAAAUAUGUAUCAUCUUACAUAAUUAAUAAUAUUUGUUUGUUUUGAUGUCACAACCUUUGAAUGAAAUUGUAUAUUCUAGGUUUGCAGCAAUAAAACUUUAAAAAAAAAAAUGAUAAUAUAGUUAUCCAACAAGUAGAUCUUUUUAAAACAAUAUAAUUAGUUCAUCACAUUUGGAACAAAUAAAAACAAAACACCCACUGCCAAUAAAACUCUCUAAUAAUUUAAUGUAAAAGGAAACUGGUUGAUAAUAUUUGAAAUAAUAUUGGAUUACAAUACAAGGUUAAAACUCACAAGAAUUGAAAAUUUUAAAACGAGUUUGAAUAUCAUUUAGUUAAGUUAUUAUUUAGAUUAUUUAGCCUGAAUAAUAUGUUACAUUGAAAAUACCCAAAUUUAAGUGAAUUGAUCAUAUAAGCAUUGUUUAAUUGCUGCUAAAACAUAUAUAACCUUACAAAUAGAGUCGAAACAUAUAAAUAACACUCAUAUAGUUAUAGAAAUUUAUGAGUUUCUAAUGAAAAUUAAUCAAAAUAUCAUGUCGUUGUGAUAACAAUCAUUAACCCAAAAUUUUAUAAAAAAAUAAACAAACAAUACUUAUUAUGCUAGAUGAUUUAUAACUAUUUUUCUUAUCAAUUUUUGGAAACAUUAUUAGUUGCUUAAACACCAGUAACACAAUUUUAUUUCACGACAUAACUAACAUCACCAUAAAAACAACUCAGUACAAAAAGAUAGUGUUGAAAUUUCAGCUUCAUCCAAUUAAAGAAGUUCAUCAAGAAAACCAAAACAAAAUACGCUUCAAAACUAGAAAUCGAUCAAAAGUAUUGCCAGUAUCACUUUUCUUUGUCAAACUCUAAGGAAAUAAGAGUCAAGUCAAUACAUGAGUUAGAGCUACAUUUCCCAUCUACACUCAUAAAAAAUAAUCGAGGAAACACAACUAUGAAAAACUUUCCGACAUCAUCUGAGCUGUCUUUAUAUUCUAUCUAAAUACAAUUUUGGUAGUUUGGUAAACUAAUAAAAAAAUUCAUUACAAAAUAAUGAGAAAAAAUUAUAUGCAACAUUCAAACAACAAAAAUCACAGUAUGUUUCCCCUCAUAUAUUAUAUACCUUACAUACUACAUAGUUUAUAUACCAUAAAAUCUUUUGUAAUAUUUUAUAUUCACACAACAAAAUUAAUUAUAAAAAUAUUCUUUUGAGUACUGUUGAAUAACCCAUAAUUAGAAUCUUGUUUACAGGGAUUUCAACAUAUGAAAAUUUCAUCUUAUAAUUUUUAAUUAAUUUUAGCUUGUUUAUUUUUUAUAAAAGCAUGUAUAUAUAUUAUUUCAAAAUUGACUACCAAAAAUAUAAGUAAUAAUACGCAAAUUAAUUUAUUAUGUUGUCCAACGAAUUUGAAAUGAAUAAACUCAGCGGUUGAUUGGUAAUGGUGGUAAAUGUUUUAGACAUCUACUUUUUCUAACAAUUUUUUUUUUUUUUAAAAAACCAAUCAUAUUUUAGAUUUUAAAAUUAAAGAUACAAUAUAGAGUUUAAAAAAAACAUAAUAUAUUAGUUUUCAAAAUCAACUUUUCUAAAGAUUUUAUUUAGUGCUUUCAAAAUAAAUAUAUAACAAACAGUUAAAGCCGAAGCAAAACAAUUCACAGCUUAUUUUCUAAAGUAAAAACAAAAACAAAAACUACAUAACAACCAAUCAACCCCUCACUCUAAAAUACAAUUUUUAAGUACCACUUUUCAUGUUUACGUUAACCAAUUUUACCCUCAUUUUUAAUGAAAGGUAAAAGACAUUUAUAACAAAUUGAUUAACUUUGACAAAAAAAAAAAACAUAAGGUUAACUAAUUUAAACUUAAAACAUCAACUCUAAACCUUAAAUCAUCAACUCUAAACCCUAAACCAUAAAACAUCAACUCUAAACCCUAAACCCCGAAACAUCAACAAUAUACUCUAAACCUUAAACCCUAAACCCUAAACCCUAAACUCUAAAGCCUAAACCCUAAACCCUAAACCUUCAAACCUAAACCCGAAAACAUCAACUCUAAACCCUAAACAUAAACCCUAAACCCUAAAUCUAAAACUUAAAACAUCAACUUUAAACCCUAAAUCAUCAACUCUAAACCCUAAACCAUGAAACAUCAACUCUAAACCCUAAACCCUAAACUCUAAACCUUCAAAUCUAAACCCUAAAAUAUCAACUCUAAACCCUAAAUGUAAACCCAAAACCCUAUAUUUUUCUGAAAUUCGAACCCUAAACCCUAAACCAUGAAACAUCAACUUUAGAGUUGAUGUUUUACGGUUUAGGGUUAAUUUUUUUAGGGUUUAGGGUUUAGAGUAUACUUUUUAGGGUAUAGUGUUGAUAGUUUAGGGUUUAGUGUUGAUGGUUUAGGGUUUAGAGUUGAAGUUUAGGGUUUAGAGUUGAUGUUUCGGAGUAUAGGGUUUCGAGUUGAUAUUUUAGGGUUUAGGGUUCAUAUUUCAAAAAAAAAAAAGGGUUUUGGAUUGAUGGUUUAGGGUUUAGCAUUCAUAUUUUUUAAAAAAGAUUUAGAAUUGAUCGUUUAGGAUUUAGAGUUGAGUUUUGAAUAAUUAAACCCUUCAUACAAAUAUAUUUAUAUUGGGAUAUUUAGAUAAUGGUUAAUUUAUAAAAAAAUAUUUUUGUUGAAUUUAAGUGAUUGAAAAUUAAUUUAAAGUUCUCAGAAACUUAUUUGUGUUUAAUCUAAAUACUUAUUUAUCUUAUUAUGAUUUUUUCUCGAUGCCACGCACCAGAUUUUAUAUUAAAUCUGAAAUUUGAAGUUUGAUUGUUAAUUUGAAAUUUGAAAUUUUUUUGAGCGGAUCUCCUGCUUGAUGGAGAGGAGAGGAAGAUAAGAUACGACUUAGAAAAGAGGCGGUGGUGCUAGACGAUUUUUUUUUCCCUGCGUCCGCUUGUGAUGGAGGCUAGGUUUUUUAUUUUUUUAAAUACACCCGAAACAAAAUAAAAGGAUUUAUAGGAAUGGGCUUAAAUAAGAGAACAAUGUUAGAUCAAUGUAUUGUUUAUGUUUUAAUAGUAUAAAGCCCAUACGUAAACACAAUCGUAAACUUUAAGCACAAAAAAAAUGAUCUGAUUGGUCAUAAAGCCCAAACGUAAACUUUAAGCCCAAAAAAAAAUUUGAUUGGACGAAUAUUUUUGAUGACGUGGCGUUUUCUGGAUACAGAAUAUGCUGCUUUUAGUAUUGUGAUAUGCCCAGCCUCGUUGUCCCUUAGUCUUCCUAUGAAUAAUCUAUUAAAACAACUUGAAGCUGAACAAAAAGAAUAUGAGAGUAUUUAAUUAAGAAGAAACACCGAACUUGGACAUAAUGAAGUCAUAAGGUAUAUAGUUAUUGUUGCAACACUCAAAACCCAAAAAAUUACUAAGACACAAACGACAAAGAAUAAGAGAGAGGGAUAGAAGACAGAGAAGAAAUAAGUUAUAGAUGAAACAAUUUGAAAUUGUGCCAUGAAAUAAGGUGUUCAUUAGAGAAAAUUUAGGGAUUUAAGAUUUUACGGUUUUAAGAAAUUAGAGAUCGUGGUUAGUGGAGCUCUUUUUUUGAUUGGAGACAUUUCUUUUGUUGGUUUAUUUGCGAUAGUUUUUAAUCCAUAUGUUGAUAAUUAAUUAGUUUUUUUAUUUGUAAAAUAAUGACAUGCGGCAGAAUCUUAUUGUUCAAGUGACUUGUGUUUUAGUAUAGAAAUGAUCAUGAAAAAAAAUGACAAGUAAGCAAAUUAACUAAAAUUAUGGAAAAGAUGACAAGUAAGCAAAUUCACUUCUCAAAUAAUAGUAUAGAUCUUUCUAUCUGCAUCACCACCAGCAUCUUUCUCCUUGGAGAAGCGAAUGGCUUUAUCCACCACCUCUUUGUUAAGGAAUGUUUCCCUUCCAAACAUAAAAUGGAAGUGUCCAUCCAUAUAUGUAUCCGUUUUGUUAGCUUGUGUAGCGGUUCGUUCGGCCCCGAACGAUGCAACGGGUUUUGUCUCGACAAUUCUCCGAGAUGCGGAUUGAAUGCUAACGUCACCUCUUUUUGUGACUAUCUCUCAGCUGUCUGGCUUUGUUCUGAAGCCUUAUCGACGCAUUUGAGCUUGGUCUUGAAUUUGCAGUCAUCUUCUCAGGAAGAACUAUUCUACUUAUCUGCUUUUGUGAUUGUAGUUUAUCAUUUUAAUCAAAGAAGAUGGUACAUUUCUUCUUUUUAUUGUAACCGAAAGAAUUAAGUUUGAAUAAAAGUAAGUUGUGUUUCAAAAAAAAAAGGAUAACAACAAAAUAUAAUUCUCCUAAAUACACUAUUUUUAAGUUUUUGUCACGAAAAUAUACUACAAGGAAGAAAAUGACCAAAAUGUUUCAAUUAAUAGGUAAAAAGACCCUAAUACCCUAGAUAUAUAAAAAAAUAAUUUUUUUUUUGAAAUUUUCUUUUUCAAAAUUUUUUUAUUUUUUUUUCCAAAUUUUUUUUUGUAAUUCGAAAAUACUUUUUGAAACUAUUUUCUAAAUUUUAUUUUCAAAUUUUUAAUUUAAAUUUUUUAUUUUAUAAAAUUUUAAACCUUAAUCUCAAAUCUCUACCCCUUAACUUUAAACCCUAAGAGCACCAUUAUCCUAAAAACUCUAAAUGGUCUCUUAUAUUUUUUUAAUAUUUUUUAUUUGUAAAAGUGAAUUAAAAGGCUGGAUUAAGAGACCCAAAAAAUUAUGUGCUCCAUUGCAAGUCUCUUAUUUAAAGGUUCUUAAAAAAAAAAUUUAAUUAAACACCAAAUUUUUUUUAUUUUUCUUAUUAAACUUAAAUUUUUUCUUAAAACAUAGUACAAGCUAACUCUAUAUUCAAGUUUUUGAUUGAAAAACUUACAAAAGAACCAAGCACAAAGGGAUUCACAACAUUUGGAGUUUUCACCACUUUGAGUUUGUUAUCUCAAAUUAGCUGACAUUUGUUUGUUUUUUCACCUGAACCACCAUCUCUGAACGGCAGUCACCGGAGUAUUCAAGAAGGGAGCGUAACGUUGGAUCAUCGGAUUCACCGUCCUUCCGAUUUUGCUCCAAUUGCUCUGGUGGUAUCCUGCUGUUACUGGUGCUUGAUACAUCAGCUUCAGUAGCUGCCAUUAAAGACAACAAGACCUCAGGCUUUUACUUUAUUCAUGAGAACAACUAUCAAGAUCCAACCAACAAUCCUGGAAACUACGUUUAUCUUUCUUCAUGGAGAGUUAUGAACAAGUUUUUGAACUAGACGGUUUCUUAUGGCACAACACACAUGAUUUUCAACAUGAAGAGCAAAACUCCACUUCUCAUUACUAAGCUAAUAAAUAGUCAUAAACUAAUAAAUAGCCAAGCGUAAGGAACUAAUAGACGCACUGUAGAAAUGAUCAACAAUUUCAUACAAGACUCCAAAACACUUGAACAUGUUGUAAAUCUGACAUCAAUAUUGCUAAAGGGGACUAGAAUCUAAAGAAAAUGAAAGUGAUAAGUCAUUUACCUAUUUUCUUCCAGCUCUUGCCAUUAAACUUACAAACUGCUUGUGUCAAUGUCUCAUCCUGCAACAAGUCAAGAAAGCUCUCAUCUCAAUUCCAAGAGAGUGAUCCACCACAGUUUUUUUUAUAGACAAAAAGUAAUGAAUACGGAAGAGGUCCAGCCGCCUUUGGCUCGCCUUAUAGGGCUACUCGUCCUCCUGGCAUAACCAAAAACAAUUAUCAAAAUCAAUCUUAUAUAGAAACUAAAAGUAAUUGCAAUUACCAGUUUGGGAAAAACGAGUUCAUGUGAUUCAAAGUUGUAAGCUUUCACAGACAAAGAAGAAGUAAAGAAAGCUCUCAUCAGAAUCAAAGUUGUAAACUCUCCCUUCACCAAAACAAAUAUCACAAAGAAAAAAUCAGCUAUCAAAUUCUCAAAGUAUAUCAGAAUCAAAAUCUGGAAGCUGCCUAUUAUCUAGCACUACAACAACAACUAAUGACCAAAGGCAUAACAACGAUUCCUUUCAAUCGAAUCCUUAAUUGCGCAAUUAUGUGUGUUCACGAGAUGAAUCCAGAGAUCAGAGACGUUACGGGAGCAUAAUAAGGUCGAAAACGGAGUGGUGAUAUCAGAGAGAAGUAUCGGCGACGAUCUUGAUUCCAUGGCAUGCAUCAACUCCAACCUGAUUCUUCACGGAGGCCACCGUUACAUCUGCACCGCCUCGCCGCA
This 8293-nucleotide long non-coding RNA is filed under the name Brassica napus (rape). RNAcentral describes it as "long non-coding RNA (BNAP_LNC020971)". The record is from RNAcentral. Lineage: Eukaryota; Viridiplantae; Streptophyta; Magnoliopsida; Brassicales; Brassicaceae.